AAAUUGAAGAGUUUGAUCAUGGCUCAGAUUGAACGCUGGCGGCAGGCCUAACACAUGCAAGUCGAACGGUAACAGGAAGCAGCUUGCUGCUUUGCUGACGAGUGGCGGACGGGUGAGUAAUGUCUGGGAAACUGCCUGAUGGAGGGGGAUAACUACUGGAAACGGUGGCUAAUACCGCAUAACGUCGCAAGACCAAAGAGGGGGACCUUCGGGCCUCUUGCCAUCAGAUGUGCCCAGAUGGGAUUAGCUUGUUGGUGAGGUAACGGCUCACCAAGGCGACGAUCCCUAGCUGGUCUGAGAGGAUGACCAGCCACACUGGAACUGAGACACGGUCCAGACUCCUACGGGAGGCAGCAGUGGGGAAUAUUGCACAAUGGGCGCAAGCCUGAUGCAGCCAUGCCGCGUGUAUGAAGAAGGCCUUCGGGUUGUAAAGUACUUUCAGCGGGGAGGAAGGUGUUGUGGUUAAUAACCGCAGCAAUUGACGUUACCCGCAGAAGAAGCACCGGCUAACUCCGUGCCAGCAGCCGCGGUAAUACGGAGGGUGCAAGCGUUAAUCGGAAUUACUGGGCGUAAAGCGCACGCAGGCGGUCUGUCAAGUCGGAUGUGAAAUCCCCGGGCUCAACCUGGGAACUGCAUUCGAAACUGGCAGGCUUGAGUCUUGUAGAGGGGGGUAGAAUUCCAGGUGUAGCGGUGAAAUGCGUAGAGAUCUGGAGGAAUACCGGUGGCGAAGGCGGCCCCCUGGACAAAGACUGACGCUCAGGUGCGAAAGCGUGGGGAGCAAACAGGAUUAGAUACCCUGGUAGUCCACGCCGUAAACGAUGUCUACUUGGAGGUUGUGCCCUUGAGGCGUGGCUUCCGGAGCUAACGCGUUAAGUAGACCGCCUGGGGAGUACGGCCGCAAGGUUAAAACUCAAAUGAAUUGACGGGGGCCCGCACAAGCGGUGGAGCAUGUGGUUUAAUUCGAUGCAACGCGAAGAACCUUACCUGGUCUUGACAUCCACGGAAGUUUUCAGAGAUGAGAAUGUGCCUUCGGGAACCGUGAGACAGGUGCUGCAUGGCUGUCGUCAGCUCGUGUUGUGAAAUGUUGGGUUAAGUCCCGCAACGAGCGCAACCCUUAUCCUUUGUUGCCAGCGGUCCGGCCGGGAACUCAAAGGAGACUGCCAGUGAUAAACUGGAGGAAGGUGGGGAUGACGUCAAGUCAUCAUGGCCCUUACGACCAGGGCUACACACGUGCUACAAUGGCGCAUACAAAGAGAAGCGACCUCGCGAGAGCAAGCGGACCUCAUAAAGUGCGUCGUAGUCCGGAUUGGAGUCUGCAACUCGACUCCAUGAAGUCGGAAUCGCUAGUAAUCGUGGAUCAGAAUGCCACGGUGAAUACGUUCCCGGGCCUUGUACACACCGCCCGUCACACCAUGGGAGUGGGUUGCAAAAGAAGUAGGUAGCUUAACCUUCGGGAGGGCGCUUACCACUUUGUGAUUCAUGACUGGGGUGAAGUCGUAACAAGGUAACCGUAGGGGAACCUGCGGUUGGA
Molecule: ribosomal RNA, 1531 nt
Filed under: Salmonella enterica
Lineage: Bacteria; Pseudomonadati; Pseudomonadota; Gammaproteobacteria; Enterobacterales; Enterobacteriaceae
Also listed under: 5 other names
Description: bacterial SSU rRNA
Rfam family: Bacterial small subunit ribosomal RNA
Source: RNAcentral